Long non-coding RNA from Neltuma alba, 140 nucleotides. RefSeq lists it as uncharacterized. The transcript has 3 exons. NCBI's taxonomy places the organism in Eukaryota, Viridiplantae, Streptophyta, Magnoliopsida, Fabales, Fabaceae. The record is from RefSeq and is a predicted model, not a curated record.
UCAAAUAGUAGUAAUUAAAAAUAUUAGUUUACAGUAUUAGAGUAUAUGGGCCCUAUGUGGCAGUAUAUAACAAAUCAGCGCAUAAAACAAAAGUCGAGAGGCUAUAUAAGCUAUAACAACAUGCUAUACUUUCGAGACCA